Athene cunicularia (burrowing owl) is the source of this 1245-nucleotide long non-coding RNA. RefSeq lists it as uncharacterized. The record is from RefSeq and is a predicted model, not a curated record. The transcript has 4 exons. NCBI's taxonomy places the organism in Eukaryota, Metazoa, Chordata, Aves, Strigiformes, Strigidae.
ACUGCGAGAAAGUGCAUUCGGACACAUCUCAGUUAGGACUUGGCAGUUCUAGAAGACCCAAGAAAUGCUGUGCUCUGACCAAAGCCUUCACUGGCUGUGUUUCAGUGGUGGAGAUUUCACUGGUCAUGAUACCUCCAGACAGGCAACCCAGGGAACCGAUAAAAUUAAUUUAUGUGUAAGAGGUUUCUGAAAUAAGGAAUCUUGAAAUUAACAGAAACAAGGAAUCUGUUUGUAAAAUAAGGAUUCUAUACUGGAUUCUGGGCAUUGACCUGCUGCCAGGUAUUAUCAUCUACGAAGACUUGAUCCUAGGUGACCACCUGACCAACCCAAGGAGUCUUCCUGAUUAGCUGAAAGCUGUGUACAGAGAUGGACAUUUGGGGGGAUGGAGUCCUCAGUGAGCACACAGGAGGAGUAUCUGCUCUAUGGGUUUUUAAAAGGGUUUUUUUGAUCUGCCUUGGACAGGAUAGUUGAUGAGAAGGAACUGAACAUGGGAGGUUGCGGGAAGGAGAUGAUAUUUACUGAUAUUAUGCAACAUAAUUUAACCCUGUUUAAGUUUAUGAUUCAGUGCUACAGGAACCCAGCCAGACCCCCUCUGCAAAUACCUCUUCAAACUAUCAGUAAAAAUUUUAGUGGCAGAAUAAAGGAGUGAACUCCAAGAGACUAUCCUUAGUUUUUUUUCCUUUUUACCAAAGCCCAAACAAUGUAAGGAAGACUGAAAAAGUGUUUGGUUGAGUGUGAUUUACCUCCAGUUCUGUGUAAUUAACACUGACAAUGAAAGCUCAUGGGUAAUCAUACUUCAGCAGUUGAUUACUGCUUGAUUUUUCAGGUGGAUGAGCUAAACAGCAUCUUUCAGUAACCACAGGAUAGCUAUAAAGUGUGGUGCUUUCCUUCUUACAUGACCUGACCUACAAGGCACGCAAAGUAAUGCUGCUUUUCCCAGGAGCACUGUCAGAUUUGGUACUUUAGAAACACCAUCCCCACCAUUUCUGUCUGGUGUUCUCCUUACAGAACACUGUGGCACAAGGAGGGGAGAAAUGUGAAAUAAAAAGUUGAAGGAUUAAAAAUCUUGCCUUAAUUACACUACUUUUAUUAAUAUGACAUCCAUCAAAGUUCAAUUUCUGUUUCCACAUGGCUACAAGCGUGUUGGCUUCAACAGGAUCACUUUCAUGGCUAGGAGCAAAAGUUUAGGCUUCUGAUUAAUAACCAUUUUGUACAGAACAUAAAAAAACUAAUCCAGAAACAAGC